GACAGAGGGUGCAAACGUUGCUCGGAAUUACUGGGCGUAAAGCGCGUGUAGGCGGAUUGGUGUGUCAGAUGUGAAAGCCCUGGGCUCAACCCAGGAACUGCACCUGAAACUACCAGUCUUGAGUGGUGGAGAGGGAAGUGGAAUUCCUGGUGUAGAGGUGAAAUUCGUAGAUAUCAGGAGGAACACCAGUGGCGAAGGCGGCUUCCUGGACACCAACUGACGCUGAGACGCGAAAGCGUGGGGAGCAAACAGG
Molecule: ribosomal RNA, 253 nt
Filed under: uncultured bacterium
Lineage: Bacteria
Description: partial 16S ribosomal RNA
Rfam family: Bacterial small subunit ribosomal RNA
Source: RNAcentral